UGGGGGAUAUUGCACAAUGGGCGCAAGCCUGAUGCAGCGACGCCGCGUGGGGGAUGAAGGCCUUCGGGUUGUAAACUUCUUUUGCUCUGAACAAGGCGCACUUUGGGGUGUGUUGAGUGCAGGGGUUGAUUAGCGCCGGCUAACUACGUGCCAGCAGCCGCGGUAAUACGUAGGGCGCGAGCGUUGUCCGGAAUUAUUGGGCGUAAAGGGCUUGUAGGUGGCUGGUUGCGUCUGUCGUGAAAGCUCAUGGCUUAACUGUGGGUUUGCGGUGGGUACGGGCUGGCUUGAGUGCAGUAGGGGAGGCUGGAAUUCCUGGUGUAGCGGUGGAAUGCGCAGCUAUCAGGAGGAAUACCGGUGGCGAAGGCGGGUCUCUGGGCUGUUACUGACACUGAGGAGCGAAAGCAUGGGGAGCGAACAGG
RNAcentral lists this ribosomal RNA (419 nucleotides) under bacterium. RNAcentral's name for it is "partial 16S ribosomal RNA". It matches the Rfam family "Bacterial small subunit ribosomal RNA", at positions 355 to 776 of the family's 1533-position model. The record is from RNAcentral.